CUGGGUGGCUAUGCCAGAGGGGAAACACCCGGCUCCAUUCCGAACCCGGAAGUUAAGUCCUCGUGGGCCGAUGAUACUGCUCCCUUCGGGAGUGGGAAAGUAGGUUGCCGCCUUGG
Molecule: ribosomal RNA, 116 nt
Filed under: Candidatus Dadabacteria bacterium
Lineage: Bacteria; Pseudomonadati; Thermodesulfobacteriota; Candidatus Dadabacteria
Source: RNAcentral